Molecule: long non-coding RNA, 1946 nt
Organism: Notothenia coriiceps (black rockcod)
Lineage: Eukaryota; Metazoa; Chordata; Actinopteri; Perciformes; Nototheniidae
Exons: 3
Source: RefSeq, a predicted model, not a curated record
GAGCAGAUGAUGUUCGGGAGGAAGAGGAGAGACUGCUGAAUGGGAAGGACAGAGCAGGUUAAAACAAUCGCAGGAGAAACAAAAACAGCAGACUGACGUUUGAUCACGGCCAAAGAAGACUCACCCUGCUGGGAUUAUUAUAUAUCAUCAUAUAUUUAUCGUUAGCCAAUGGGGAAUAGAGCUCCUCUGCCAAUCAACCAAUCACGAUGCUGGACACCAAACGACCGCUGGGUCCCUACUGAUGUAUAGCUGUGAUUCUGUGUGUGUGUGUCAUGUCACUGUGGUUUUAACUUUUUGUUGUUGAUUUGAUCGUGCAUAGCUAAACAAGGAGUCUGAAACCUGCUGAUUUGUACCGUAGCCUGUGUGUGUGUGUGUGCUCUGCGUUUUUCGAGGGUCAAGUAAGUGAAGAAAAGAUGUGUUACGGAAAUUUGUGAAGGAUAAAAAAAAAAACUGGAAUGUUUCAGGAUGGAAAUACAGGAUGUAAAGAGAAGUGGUAAACAGACGAGAAGUGUGUAGUAAUGUUUUACGUUUCGGCACUGUGUGCUUAGUAUUUAUUGCUUUGAUUUGAGUUUAGACAUUUAGUCUUUCAAUUUGAGUGUUCAUGUGUAUGGUCCUGCUGAGAUGAUAAGCUUUAACGGGACGCUUCCUGCUGAAGGCUGAAAGCUAAGGUCCCGCUCUUGUUACCUGGCAGAUUAGUGCCAUGGUGCUGACAUGACAGCAGCUCAGGUUGUGCUGGCCUCUCUGUGUAACUCGGUACUGCAGUGGGACUACAGUCGAUGAGGUGUGUGUGUGUGUGUGUGUGUGUGUGUGUGUGUGUGUGUGUGUGUGUGUGUGUGUGUGUGUGUGUGUGUGUGUGUGUGUGUGUGUGUGUGUGUGUGUGUGUGUGUGAUAAAAAAACAUUUGCUGCAACAGUGUAGCAAUAGAGUAGCAAAGUGGGUGGAGAAGUGGGCUCUGGAAGUAUUUAUGCCCAUUUUUUAUAAAUAUUCUUCUAAAAAGUAAUUGUAGCCCAACCUGGUUAUUAAGGGUCACUUGGUGAUGACAGAAAUAAGAGAACAGUUAAUUACAUAAUUGUAGGAUUUUAUUGUCAAUCAAAGGACUAAAAAAAACCUCAUAUCCACAUAAUUCGUUUUUUUAUUCUAACCUUGCAUGCAAAAUGUCUCUUGACACCACUGUUGAAAAAAGAAAUACGAUAUUGUUGUAAUCAGAGACAAAAACAGCGUAGCCUUCUUUAGAAAUUGACUCAUUAAACUCAAUUCACGGUCUCCUAUUGGACGUUUCUGCAAUGCUCCUUGGAAGUUGUGUAAGACUUCUCUCAUGUCUUUAAGUACAAACAUUUCUGAGUUUUUGUGAGUUUGACGUAUGCUUUAACCAGUGCCCCUUAUCAAACAUUAUCUCACAAGAGUUUAUUCAAUUUACUUUCCAAACGCUGCCUGUCCAAAAAGACUCUUCACACUUUGCUACUCUUCGAUUCAGGCUUUAUGUAAAAUGCAGGGGAUUGUGGGAGUCGUAGUUCUCCAUGGAUGUUAAGCUAUAACCAGCAGCCCAAGAACAUGUUCUGAUAUCUGUAUGAUAAUUAAAGAUGACCCAAAGUGACUUACUGAGCUUGAAUCAGGUCAGGUAGAUAUGUUUUUAGCAUUACAUGGCUUUGAUUUGGAAGCUGUAGGUAACUGUUGUACAUUUUAAAAUCAGCUUUUAGUUGGACAUUAUAUUUUUUAGAGACUUCACCAGCCCUUCAUAUUGUUUGACUGACAGCUUGCAUGUGUGAUGAAUGAUGAAUACCUGAAUGAGCUUAUGUUUCUGUCUGAAUGUGUGAGCGUGACACCAAGAUUGACAGGGCAGACGAGUCCUGGCAUGAAAUUGUAAACACCUUCAGCUCUGAACCUGCCUGAGCUGACACUGUGAGUGAAGAGUGUGUUUAAUCUGUAAUAAAAAUAUUUAAAGUCAGA